UACGGAGGGUGCAAGCGUUAUCCGGAUUCACUGGGUUUAAAGGGUGCGUAGGCGGACAGGUAAGUCAGUGGUGAAAUCUCUGGGCUUAACCCAGAAACUGCCGUUGAUACUAUUUGUCUUGAAUAUCCUGGAGGUAGGCGGAAUAUGACAUGUAGCGGUGAAAUGCUUAGAUAUGACAUAGAACACCGAUAGCGAAGGCAGCUUACUACAGGAUGAUUGACGCUGAGGCACGAAAGCGUGGGGAGCAAACAGG
This 253-nucleotide ribosomal RNA is filed under the name uncultured bacterium. RNAcentral describes it as "partial 16S ribosomal RNA". It matches the Rfam family "Bacterial small subunit ribosomal RNA", at positions 524 to 776 of the family's 1533-position model. The record is from RNAcentral.